AUUUUAAUAGUUUAAUAUAAAAAAUAUAACUCUGAAGAAGUUAAGAUCUUUAAAAUA
RNAcentral lists this transfer RNA (57 nucleotides) under Kalicephalus indicus. RNAcentral describes it as "tRNA-Phe". The record is from RNAcentral. Lineage: Eukaryota; Metazoa; Nematoda; Chromadorea; Rhabditida; Diaphanocephalidae.